UACGGAGGGUGCAAGCGUUAUCCGGAUUCACUGGGUUUAAAGGGUGCGUAGGAGGGCAGGUAAGUCAGUGGUGAAAUCUUCGAGCCUAACUCGGAAACUGCCGUUGAUACUAUCUGUCUUGAAUACCGUGGAGAUGAGCGGAAUAUGUCAUGUAGCGGUGAAAUGCUUAGAUAUGACAUAGAACACCAAUUGCGAAGGCAGCUCGUUACACGAAUAUUGACUCUGAGGCACGAAAGCGUGGGGAUCAAACAGG
This 253-nucleotide ribosomal RNA is filed under the name uncultured bacterium. RNAcentral describes it as "partial 16S ribosomal RNA". It matches the Rfam family "Bacterial small subunit ribosomal RNA", at positions 524 to 776 of the family's 1533-position model. The record is from RNAcentral.